RNAcentral lists this unclassified non-coding RNA (233 nucleotides) under Ascomycota sp. Its description in RNAcentral is "partial contains small subunit ribosomal RNA, internal transcribed spacer 1, and 5.8S ribosomal RNA". The stretch from base 1 to 47 matches the Rfam family "Eukaryotic small subunit ribosomal RNA", at positions 1785 to 1831 of the family's 1831-position model. The record is from RNAcentral. Lineage: Eukaryota; Fungi; Ascomycota.
AAAGUCGUAACAAGGUCUCCGUUGGUGAACCAGCGGAGGGAUCAUUACCGAGUUUACAACUCCCAAACCCCUGUGAACCAUACCUAUACGUUGCUUCGGCGGAUACGCCCCGGUGCCUCAGUGACUGGGAUUCAGCGCCCGCCGAGGGCCUACAAACUCUCUCUUGUAUCAUUGCAUUAUCUGAGUAUAAAUCAAAUAAAUCAAAACUUUCAACAACGGAUCUCUUGGUUCUG